Molecule: long non-coding RNA, 214 nt
Filed under: Eutrema salsugineum
Lineage: Eukaryota; Viridiplantae; Streptophyta; Magnoliopsida; Brassicales; Brassicaceae
Description: long non-coding RNA (ESAL_LNC000713)
Source: RNAcentral
AAAGGCGUAGGUGCCCGUUGCGUUGUUAUGGGAGAGUAUGUACACGAUGCCACAAGGAAAAGCAAGCGUACCAAGAUUGUUUCCACGAGGAUAGAUGAAUGAUUCGAAUGUGACAAAAUAUUAAAGACAUUGAUCGGUCAUGAAACUGAGGAUGAAGUUACCAAGGCCAGAAAAUUAGAUGAGAAGGUUCGGUUGGCAAUCAAUACUGUUAAAA